UAAGACGAACCGUGCGAACGUUAUUCGGAAUCACUGGGCUUAAAGCGCGUGUAGGCGGGUCGGAACGUCGGUCGCUGAAAUCCCCCGGCUCAACCGGGGAAGGGGCGCCGAUACGACCGACCUGGAGCGACGUAGGGGGGACUGGAACUUCCGGUGGAGCGGUGAAAUGCGUUGAGAUCGGAAGGAACGCCCGUGGCGAAAGCGAGUCCCUGGACGUCGGCUGACGCUGAGACGCGAAAGCCAGGGGAGCGAACGGGAUUAGAUACCCCGGUAGUCCUGGCCGUAAACGAUGGGCACUGGGUAGGGGGCUCGCCGAUGGGCUCCCUGCCGUAGGGAAACCGUGAAGUGCCCCGCCUGGGGAGUAUGGUCGCAAGGCUG
RNAcentral lists this ribosomal RNA (378 nucleotides) under uncultured bacterium. Its description in RNAcentral is "bacterial SSU rRNA". It matches the Rfam family "Bacterial small subunit ribosomal RNA", at positions 521 to 896 of the family's 1533-position model. The record is from RNAcentral.